GCCCGGAUGGUGAAAUUGGUAGACACAAGGGACUUAAAAUCCCUCGGCGGCUUAACCCGCCAUGCCGGUUCGAUUCCGGCUCCGGGCACCA
RNAcentral lists this transfer RNA (91 nucleotides) under Burkholderiales bacterium. Its description in RNAcentral is "tRNA-Leu". It matches the Rfam family "tRNA". From Rfam's summary of the family: Transfer RNA (tRNA) molecules are approximately 80 nucleotides in length. Their secondary structure includes four short double-helical elements and three loops (D, anti-codon, and T loops). Further hydrogen bonds mediate the characteristic L-shaped molecular structure. tRNAs have two regions of fundamental functional importance: the anti-codon, which is responsible for specific mRNA codon recognition, and the 3' end, to which the tRNAs corresponding amino acid is attached (by aminoacyl-tRNA synthetases). tRNAs cope with the degeneracy of the genetic code in two manners: having more than one tRNA (with a specific anti-codon) for a particular amino acid; and 'wobble' base-pairing, i.e. permitting non-standard base-pairing at the 3rd anti-codon position. Lineage: Bacteria; Pseudomonadati; Pseudomonadota; Betaproteobacteria; Burkholderiales. The record is from RNAcentral.